GUCUACAGCCAUGCUACCCUAAACAAGCCCGAUCCCCUCUGAUCUCGGAAGCUAAGCAGGGUCGGGCCUCAUUAGUACUUGGAUAAGAGACCACCUAGGAAGACCAGGUUCUGUAGGUG
This 119-nucleotide ribosomal RNA is filed under the name Pteropus alecto (black flying fox). The record is from RNAcentral. Lineage: Eukaryota; Metazoa; Chordata; Mammalia; Chiroptera; Pteropodidae.